Non-coding RNA from Alicyclobacillus acidoterrestris ATCC 49025, 145 nucleotides. The record is from Rfam. NCBI's taxonomy places the organism in Bacteria, Bacillati, Bacillota, Bacilli, Caryophanales, Alicyclobacillaceae.
UAGUCAGUGAAAGUCUGACCUCGGAAAGUACCAAGACAUCCGAGUAGCUAGGAUACCUGCGUACGGCGAAAUCUGUGCGUAGAAGCGUGUCGACGAAAGUACCCGUCAGAGUACGGGGCGAGCAAGAUACCAGGCCGCAACAUGA